GUGGAUUCUCAAGCGUGAGGUAAGAGCAUUUGGUGGAUGCCUUGGCAUGUGCAGGCGAUGAAGGACGUGGCACGCUGCGAUAAGCGUCGGGGAGAUGUGAGCAAUCUUUGAUCCGGCGAUUUCCGAAUGGGGAAACCCACCCUCACCAUUUCCUUUCGAUCGACCUUCGGGUGGAUCGGAAAGAGGUGGAUAGGGUAUCACCAGACUGAAUAUAUAGGUUUGGUGAAGCGAACCCGGGGAACUGAAACAUCUCAGUACCCGGAGGAAAAGACAUCAACAGAGAUUCCCGUAGUAGUGGCGAGCGAACCGGGACCAGGCCAGUGCCUUCAUUUCAACUAGCAAAACACUUUGGAAAGAGUGGCCAUAGCGGGUGACAGCCCCGUAUGCGAAAGUGAUGAUGAAGGACUCGAGUAGGGCGGGACACGUGAAAUCCUGUCUGAACAUGGGGGGACCACCCUCCAAGCCUAAAUACUCGCACAUGACCGAUAGCGAACACAGUACCGUGAGGGAAAGGUGAAAAGCACCCCGAUUAGGGGAGUGAAACAGUACCUGAAACCGGAUGCUUACAAGCAGUUGGAGCCCCAUAGGGGGUGACAGCGUACCUCUUGCAUAAUGGGUCAGUGACUUAAUCUACCAUGCAAGCUUAAGCCGUUAGGUGUAGGCGCAGCGAAAGCGAGUCUGAAUAGGGCGACUGAGUAUGAUGGAUUAGACCCGAACCCCGGCGAUCUAGGCAUGGCCAGGUUGAAGGUGCGGUAACACGCACUGGAGGACCGAACCGGUGAAUGUUGAAAAAUUCUCGGAUGAGCUGUGUUUAGGGGUGAAAGGCCAAUCAAGCCGGGAAAUAGCUGGUUCUCCGCGAAAUCUAUUGAGGUAGAGCGUCGGAUGUAUGCCGAUGGGGGUAGAGCACUGGAUGGGCUAGGGCUGCGCGAGCGGUACCAAACCUAACCAAACUCCGAAUACCAUCGAGUCUUGUCCGGCAGACAGACGGCGGGUGCUAAGGUCCGUCGUCAAAAGGGAAACAGCCCUAACCUACAGCUAAGGUCCCCAAGUCAUAUCUAAGUGGGAAAGCAUGUGGGAAUCCCAAAACAACCAGGAGGUUGGCUUAGAAGCAGCCAUCCUUUAAAGAUAGCGUAACAGCUCAC
RNAcentral lists this ribosomal RNA (1142 nucleotides) under Cobetia sp. RNAcentral describes it as "bacterial LSU rRNA". It matches the Rfam family "Bacterial large subunit ribosomal RNA", at positions 1 to 1145 of the family's 2925-position model. Lineage: Bacteria; Pseudomonadati; Pseudomonadota; Gammaproteobacteria; Oceanospirillales; Halomonadaceae. The record is from RNAcentral.